AAUAAACAUAUAGUCGACUUAAAGCAGGGGUUCUCAACCUUUUGUAACUUGAGGCCCACUUCCGAUUGUUCAAAAAUUUCCGAGGACCACCUUCCCAAAUAAAUAACAAACUGGCCUGUAAAUAUGUGUUAUGCCACUGUCAGGUGUAAUGA
Sebastes umbrosus (honeycomb rockfish) is the source of this 152-nucleotide long non-coding RNA. RefSeq lists it as uncharacterized. Lineage: Eukaryota; Metazoa; Chordata; Actinopteri; Perciformes; Sebastidae. The transcript is spliced from 3 exons. The record is from RefSeq and is a predicted model, not a curated record.